GCCGGUAUGGUGCAGCGGUAGCACGCGGGACCUCAGGGUCGCCUGGACGUCCUUCGGGGAGUCCGGGCUUGAGCUUGGGCAAACGGUGGCACUGGUUCGAAUCCAGUUGCCGGCA
This is a non-coding RNA of Cercophora newfieldiana, 115 nucleotides long. Lineage: Eukaryota; Fungi; Ascomycota; Sordariomycetes; Sordariales; Lasiosphaeriaceae. The record is from the annotation of a GenBank genome assembly.